Molecule: ribosomal RNA, 596 nt
Filed under: uncultured bacterium
Lineage: Bacteria
Description: bacterial SSU rRNA
Rfam family: Bacterial small subunit ribosomal RNA
Source: RNAcentral
UGCAGUCGAACGGAGCUGAGAGGAGCUUGCUUUUCUUAGCUUAGUGGCGAACGGGUGAGUAACGCGUGAGUAACCUGCCCUGGAGUGGGGGACAACAGUUGGAAACGACUGCUAAUACCGCAUAAGCCCACGAUCCGGCAUCGGAUUGAGGGAAAAGGAUUUAUUCGCUUCAGGAUGGACUCGCGUCCAAUUAGCUAGUUGGUGAGGUAACGGCCCACCAAGGCGACGAUUGGUAGCCGGACUGAGAGGUUGAACGGCCACAUUGGGACUGAGACACGGCCCAGACUCCUACGGGAGGCAGCAGUGGGGGAUAUUGCACAAUGGGGGAAACCCUGAUGCAGCGACGCCGCGUGGAGGAAGAAGGUUUUCGGAUUGUAAACUCCUGUCGUUAGGGACGAUAAUGACGGUACCUAACAAGAAAGCACCGGCUAACUACGUGCCAGCAGCCGCGGUAAAACGUAGGGUGCAAGCGUUGUCCGGAAUUACUGGGUGUAAAGGGAGCGCAGGCGGACCGGCAAGUUGGAAGUGAGAACUAUGGGCUCACCCAUAAAUUGCUUUCAAAACUGCUGGCCUUGAGUAGUGCAGAGGUAGGUGGA